Naegleria fowleri is the source of this 73-nucleotide non-coding RNA. NCBI's taxonomy places the organism in Eukaryota, Heterolobosea, Eutetramitea, Acrasida, Naegleriidae. The record is from the annotation of a RefSeq genome assembly.
GCGCUUAUAGCUUAGUCGGUAAAGCGAUCGUUUGAUAAGCGAUAGAUCAAUGGUUCGAGCCCAUUUAAGCGCA